UACGAAGGGGGCUAGCGUUGCUCGGAAUCACUGGGCGUAAAGGGUGCGUAGGCGGGGCUUUAAGUUAGAGGUGAAAUCCUGGAGCUCAACUCCAGAACUGCCUUUGAUACUGAAGAUCUUGAGUUCGGGAGAGGUGAGUGGAACUGCGAGUGUAGAGGUGAAAUUCGUAGAUAUUCGCAAGAACACCAGUGGCGAAGGCGGCUCACUGGCCCGAUACUGACGCUGAGGCACGAAAGCGUGGGGAGCAAACAGG
This 253-nucleotide ribosomal RNA is filed under the name uncultured bacterium. RNAcentral's name for it is "partial 16S ribosomal RNA". It matches the Rfam family "Bacterial small subunit ribosomal RNA", at positions 524 to 776 of the family's 1533-position model. The record is from RNAcentral.